RNAcentral lists this ribosomal RNA (405 nucleotides) under Bacillota bacterium. RNAcentral's name for it is "Firmicutes bacterium partial 16S ribosomal RNA". It matches the Rfam family "Bacterial small subunit ribosomal RNA", at positions 355 to 776 of the family's 1533-position model. Lineage: Bacteria; Bacillati; Bacillota. RNAcentral also lists the same sequence under 1 other name. The record is from RNAcentral.
UGGGGAAUAUUGGACAAUGGGCGCAAGCCUGAUCCAGCAAUGCCGCGUGAGUGAUGAAGGCCUUAGGGUUGUAAAGCUCUUUCGCCCGCGACGAUGAUGACGGUAGCGGGAGAAGAAGCCCCGGCUAACUCCGUGCCAGCAGCCGCGGUAAUACGGAGGGGGCUAGCGUUGUUCGGAAUUACUGGGCGUAAAGGGCGCGCAGGCGGCUGCUCAAGUCAGGCGUGAAAGGCCUGGGCUCAACCCGGGAAUUGCGCUUGAGACUGGGCUGGCUUGAGUGCGGGAGAGGAUGGUGGAAUUCCCAGUGUAGAGGUGAAAUUCGUAGAUAUUGGGAAGAACACCGGUGGCGAAGGCGGCCAUCUGGACCGCAACUGACGCUGAGGCGCGAAAGCGUGGGGAGCAAACAGG